This is a non-coding RNA of Macaca mulatta (Rhesus monkey), 2024 nucleotides long. Lineage: Eukaryota; Metazoa; Chordata; Mammalia; Primates; Cercopithecidae. The record is from RefSeq and is a predicted model, not a curated record.
AUUGUGCAUGAUGAUGGCCUGAGCCACCCAGAAGAGGCCACCUGACACCCAGCAUCCCUGCUCAGGAAGGCAGGAAGGAAGUGAGAACAUCCCCGAGCAAGACCAACAAUUGCUGAAUAAACACAAACACCCUUGAGAAUCACUCCGACAGGUGCUGCCUCUUCACCUGGGGAUUGCAAAGGUGAGAGGGGAGAAAGUGAGAACAUCCCCGAAAAAGACCAACAAUUGCUGGAUAAACACAAACCCCCUUGAGAAUCACACCAACAGGUGCUGGCUCUUCACCUGGGGAUUGCAAAGCCUCACCGCCAUGGACAGUGUGCCCCUCAUCUGUGACUACGGCUCUGGCUUCAGCAAGGUGGGAUUCGCAGGAAUGGAAAGCCCAAUGGGCGUGUUCCCCACUGUCCUCGGGAAACUUCGGCACGAUAACGUAUUGGUGGGGAUGGAAGAGGAAGACUGGUUCAUUGGAGAGGAGGUUCAGAAAAAUCGAGGGAAACUCAUCCUGCAAUAUCCCAUUUCUCGAGCAACGAUGACCAACUGGGACAACAUGGAGAAGAUUUGGCAUCACUCCUUCUACCAGGUGCUCCACGUCGCCCCAGAGCAGCACCCCGUGUUGGUGACGGAGCCGCCUUUGAACCCAACACCCAGCAAACAGAAAGUCACACAGGUGCUGUUUGAGACUUUCAACAUACCUGCCCUGUAUUUAGCUAACCAAGGAGUCCUUUCUCUGUACGCCUCUGGCCAGACCUCUGGCUUGACUGUUGAAUCUGGAGAAGGAAUGACACACUUUGUGCCCAUCGCUGAUGGCUGCCCUUUGCAUCUGUCAACCUUCCAGCUGGACAUAGCGGGCCAGGACCUAACCUUGCACCUCCUGCAACUGUUGAAAGACAAUGGGCAAUUAUUGUUGGGCACAGGGGAUCGAGAGUACAUCCGGGACAUGAAGGAGAAAUGCUGCUAUGUGGCUUUGGACUUUGACAAGGAAAAGAAGAAAACCGAUUCACCUUCCCACCAUCAGAAAUAUCAGCUGCCUGACGGCCAAGAGAUCACCGUUGGGCAGGAGAGCUUCUUCUGCCCCGAGGCGCUCUUCCAGACAAAACUCAUAGGUCCAAGGUUAUUCGGCAGCUUUUCCUCCCAGGCAAGGGACAUGAGGCAUGGACGGCACCACCUAGCCCUCCCAGGGGCUCACAAUAUUGAACAAAAAAUAUCAGGUUGGUGCAAAAAUAAUCGAUUACAUUUGCACCAACCUAGUAAUACAGGGCACACAUCUCUUCAGGGCGGUUCCCGUUAUAUUUGAGUUUAUUCAUGUGGCCAAAUGAUGAGCCAAGAAAGGAGGGAUCAGUGUCAUUUCUCAAAGGCUGCCAGAAGGAGGAUGCUGCCUCGACAGGAAUCUUUUUAUACACUUGAUACCAGAGCGUUACAUAUUAAUAACUGUCAGUAACAGUUGAAUAUAAAUUUUCCUGGAGGAGAGCGGAGAAUUGCUAUGUAUUUCCUCAACCAGGAGCAGCUGAGUCCUGUCGUCUGGCCGGGUGGCUCCCUGCAUUCCCUGGUGGGAGUCCAGCUAAGCUAAGGGAGAGACGCCCCUGGCAUCCACACGAUGGCCAUCCAGAGCAUCACUUCCUGCAGCGCCGACCUCCAGAACGUCCUCUUCGGCCACAUGCUGCUGUCGGGAGGGACGGGCUCCUGCCCCGGCUUGAGAUUCCGGAUGCAGAGAGAAAUAUCUGAGCUGGUAUCCCCUACAGUUCAUGUGAAGGUGGCCACCUGUCCGUAUUCCGUCUAUGGAGCUUGGGUAGGUGGCUCCAUCUUGUGCUCACUCUCCACGUUCAAGGACAUGUGGGUCACCAGCAAGGAGUACAAGGAGAUGGGCUCUUCCAUCGUCAGUAGAAAAAGCUUCUGAUAUAUGGCUUUCAGGUGCCUUCGACACCAACUGCAGGAUGAGCCUUGUUGUGGCUGAAUUGAUCAGAGCUCAGAACCAGCUCAAGGGCAAAGGCACUUCCUCCCCCAGACUUCAAUAAAGAAUGUCAAUAAAG